Molecule: ribosomal RNA, 520 nt
Filed under: Paraconiothyrium sp. HL5-159-35A
Lineage: Eukaryota; Fungi; Ascomycota; Dothideomycetes; Pleosporales; Didymosphaeriaceae
Description: eukaryotic LSU rRNA
Rfam family: 5.8S ribosomal RNA (bases 168-321)
Source: RNAcentral
GGGGCUUGCUCCCGGGUGGUAGGGGUAACACCCUCACGCGCCGCCUGCCUGUACCCUCUUUUUACGAGCACCUUUCGUUCUCCUUCGGCGGGGCAACCUGCCGCUGGAACCAAAACAAAACCUUUUUUGCAUCUAGCAUUACCUGUUCUGAUACAAACAAUCGUUACAACUUUCAACAAUGGAUCUCUUGGCUCUGGCAUCGAUGAAGAACGCAGCGAAAUGCGAUAAGUAGUGUGAAUUGCAGAAUUCAGUGAAUCAUCGAAUCUUUGAACGCACAUUGCGCCCCUUGGUAUUCCAUGGGGCAUGCCUGUUCGAGCGUCAUCUACACCCUCAAGCUCUGCUUGGUGUUGGGCGUCUGUCCCGCCUCUGCGCGCGGACUCGCCCCAAAUUCAUUGGCAGCGGUCUUUGCCUCCUCUCGCGCAGCACAAUUGCGUCUGCGGGGGGGCGUGGCCCGCGUCCACGAAGCAACAUUACCGUCUUUGACCUCGGAUCAGGUAGGGAUACCCGCUGAACUUAAGCA